RNAcentral lists this ribosomal RNA (253 nucleotides) under uncultured bacterium. RNAcentral's name for it is "partial 16S ribosomal RNA". It matches the Rfam family "Bacterial small subunit ribosomal RNA", at positions 524 to 776 of the family's 1533-position model. The record is from RNAcentral.
GACGUAGGGCGCGAGCGUUGUCCGGAUUUAUUGGGCGUAAAGCGCACGUAGGCGGUUCGUUAUGUCAGAUGUGAAAGCCCUUGGCUCAACUGAGGAAGUGCAUCUGAAACUGGCGAGCUAGAGUAUGUAAGAGGGUCGCGGAAUUCCCGGUGUAGAGGUGAAAUUCGUAGAUAUCGGGAGGAACACCGGUGGCGAAGGCGGCGACCUGGGACAAUACUGACGCUGAGGUGCGAAAGCGUGGGGAGCAAACAGG